RNAcentral lists this transfer RNA (76 nucleotides) under Verrucomicrobiota bacterium. RNAcentral's name for it is "tRNA-Gly". It matches the Rfam family "tRNA". Rfam says of the family: Transfer RNA (tRNA) molecules are approximately 80 nucleotides in length. Their secondary structure includes four short double-helical elements and three loops (D, anti-codon, and T loops). The record is from RNAcentral. RNAcentral also lists the same sequence under 4 other names. Lineage: Bacteria; Pseudomonadati; Verrucomicrobiota.
GCGAGCGUAGCUCAGUUGGUAGAGCAUCACGUUGCCAACGUGAAUGUCGAGGGUUCAAAUCCCUUCGCUCGCUCCA